AUGGGCUGCAGUCCUUCCUCAGAAUCCUGGGGAGGUGGUGACAGGUCCUCCUGUGUCCCACUGAGCCUUGGGAAUCCCUCUGAUCCCUGGGGAAGCAGGUGCAGGGCAAGCCCAGUGCCAGGCUGUUGCCCUGGAUGCUGCUCGUGGUGCUGGGCUGCUCCAGGACAUGGGGUCCCAGGAGAACGGUGGCAGGACUGCCCUGGGAUGUUUGUCACCAAGCCCUGGUGCCGCUUGGACUCUCCCCCAUCCCCCAUGCCCUCAGUCGCAGUCAGAGCCAGCACCAGGGUUGGUGGCUGCUGCUGUCACGUCCUGCAGGUGGUGGGGAAGGGCAGAGAAGGUGCCUGGGCUGUACUCCGGGAGGCUCGGUGGGGCUCUGCCCCUCGGGGCACUGCUGUGGCCACGGGAGAGCCCCAGCUCCAUGGGAGCACUGACCCCCCUCCUCCAUCCCACAGGAGCCCAGCGCCGCGGAGCAGGACCGUGUGUGAGGUGAGUGCCUGUCCCCUGUCCCUGUCCCCUGCCCCUGGGACAAUGUCUGGGCGGCUGGGAGGGCACUGUCGCUGUCCCUGCCCUGCUGGGUCUCAGCUUGCUGCUGGAGAUGGAGAGAGGCUGAACCCUUCCUCCAGGGGUCGGGACGUGGCCAGCCACAGGCAGCGACCCCGGGAAAUCCCAUUUGGGUGGUGGGGAGGUGCCAUGGCCGCGGGCACCAGCCCCAUCCUGCCUCUCUCCCUCCCGCAGCUCCUCUCCGCUCCCGGCUGGAGCGUGCACGGGAGGCGCGCAGCCCCCGGGCCCCUCGGGGCUGGGGCUGUGCCGUGGGGCAGCCGCGGGGCAGCCGUGCCCGGCCCCGGGUGGGCAGCUACGCGCUUGGCAUGGCCGGAGCGACGCGCCCGCGACACCGACACCGCGCUCGGCGCCAGCCUUCAUCCCAUUGGCAAUAGGUACCCGAGUCCCACCCACCGCACCCUCCCCGGAGACCCCCCGAGGGACCCUCGGGCCUGGCAGGGGCAGGACGGCACCCGGAGCCCGCUGCCCCCGCGGCCCCCAGCUCGGGGGAAGGAUCACGGGGGGCCGCGGCGAGGGGCAGGGAUGGAGGCAGCGGCUUGA
This 1101-nucleotide long non-coding RNA is filed under the name Camarhynchus parvulus. Its description in RNAcentral is "lncRNA (ENSCPVG00000016941.1)". Lineage: Eukaryota; Metazoa; Chordata; Aves; Passeriformes; Thraupidae. The record is from RNAcentral.